GACAGAGGGUGCAAACGUUGUUCGGAAUUACUGGGCGUAAAGCGCGUGUAGGCGGCCCUGUAAGUCGGGUGUGAAAGCCCCGGGCUCAACCUGGGAAUUGCAUUCGAGACUGCAUGGCUAGGGUGCGGAAGAGGGAAGCGGAAUUUCCGGUGUAGCGGUGAAAUGCGUAGAUAUCGGAAGGAACACCAGUGGCGAAAGCGGCUUCCUGGUCCAGCACCGACGUUCAGGCACGAAAGCGUGGGGAGCAAACAGG
This 253-nucleotide ribosomal RNA is filed under the name uncultured bacterium. RNAcentral's name for it is "partial 16S ribosomal RNA". It matches the Rfam family "Bacterial small subunit ribosomal RNA", at positions 524 to 776 of the family's 1533-position model. The record is from RNAcentral.